This 271-nucleotide ribosomal RNA is filed under the name uncultured bacterium. RNAcentral's name for it is "partial 16S ribosomal RNA". It matches the Rfam family "Bacterial small subunit ribosomal RNA", at positions 355 to 620 of the family's 1533-position model. The record is from RNAcentral.
UGGGGAAUAUUGCACAAUGGGCGCAAGCCUGAUGCAGCCAUGCCGCGUGUGUGAAGAAGGCCUUCGGUUGUAAGCACUUUCAGCGAGGAGGAAGGGUAGUGUGUUAAUAGCACAUUGCAUUGACGUUACUCGCAGAAGAAGCACCGGCUAACUCCGUGCCAGCAGCCGCGGUAAUACGGAGGGUGCAAGCGUUAAUCGGAAUUACUGGGCGUAAAGCGCACGCAGGCGGUUUGUUAAGUCAGAUGUGAAAUCCCCGCGCUUAACGUGGAAC